CCUACGGGAGACAGCAGUGAGGAAUAUUGGUCAAUGGGCGCGAGCCUGAACCAGCCAAGUAGCGUGAAGGAUGACUGCCCUAUGGGUUGUAAACUUCUUUUAUAUGGGAGUAAAAUGUUCCACGUGUGGGAUUUUGUAUGUACCAUAUGAAUAAGGAUCGGGUAACUCCGUGCCAGCAGCCGCGGUAAUACGGAGGAUCCGAGCGUUACCCGGAUUUAUUGGGUUUAAAGGGAGCGUAGGUGGAUUGUUAAGUCAGUUGUGAAAGUUUGCGGCUCAACCGUAAAAUUGCAGUUGAAACUGGCAGUCUUGAGUACAGUAGAGGUGGGCGGAAUUCGUGGUGUAGCGGUGAAAUGCGUAGAUAUCACGAAGAACUCCGAUUGCGAAGGCAGUUCACUGGACUGCAACUGACACUGAGGCUCGAAAGUGUGGGUAGCAAACAGGAUUAGAUACCCGUGUAGUC
Molecule: ribosomal RNA, 460 nt
Filed under: uncultured bacterium
Lineage: Bacteria
Description: partial 16S ribosomal RNA
Rfam family: Bacterial small subunit ribosomal RNA
Source: RNAcentral